UCUGUAAACAUCAAAACAGCAACAUGACGUCCUUCACAGUCUGAUGAGUUUUCUAGAAGCUCUAAAAGACAGCGACUCAGCAGUCUGAAUGAACAGGAAGCAGUUUAAGUUGUCUUUUCUUUUACAAUAAUAUACAUAACUGUUCUCACCUGUUCCCUGUUGUCUGGUCUCUCUUCAGCCUCAGAAGAUUCAUUGGACGUCCUCUUCUUUCUGCUCAGGAGAAUUAAUUAAAACAUAAAUGACUGAAUGUUUCACUUCUGACUGUCAGUGAUUUGACCUUCAGUGAUUCAGAGCUGCUCACCUGAUCCACAGGUAGACAGAGAGGGAUAUGACAGCCAGGAGAACCACAGGGAUUGUUCCAGCAGCUGCUAACAUACCUGAUGCUGAGAAACAGUGAUCAAGAAAACAGACAGUUAAUUAGGCUGUUACAACAUGACUGGAGUCACAGAAGGUUAAGAAGCUUCUCAAAGUGCGUCACCACUUCAUUAACAACAUCCUCAUGCUGAGGUAAUCAUGCUGAUGCCACAUGAUGUCUUAUGUAGCUGAAUGUGGACAACCGACCUGCCAUAACAGUCAGAUGUAAGGUGUUCCUAUGACUUCCUCUUAUGUUCUGGGCUUCACAGUAAUAAUUCCCACUGUGUUCAGCUCUGAAGUCAGUGAUGGUGAAGUUCUGUCCUGAUGCUUUUGCAGAGGGACUCACUGACACAGAGGGAAGCUUUGGACCAUCUGGAGGACAAGAUUUAACAAAGAUUAGCAGCAGAUUUUAAGAAUGUAUUCAUCCACACAAAGACCAUUUUCAAGUCAUUAAACCCUAAAAGAUUUA
Long non-coding RNA from Scatophagus argus, 823 nucleotides. RefSeq lists it as uncharacterized. The transcript is spliced from 2 exons. The record is from RefSeq and is a predicted model, not a curated record. NCBI's taxonomy places the organism in Eukaryota, Metazoa, Chordata, Actinopteri, Scatophagidae.